RNAcentral lists this long non-coding RNA (4435 nucleotides) under Erythranthe guttata (spotted monkey flower). Its description in RNAcentral is "long non-coding RNA (EGUT_LNC002574)". The record is from RNAcentral. Lineage: Eukaryota; Viridiplantae; Streptophyta; Magnoliopsida; Lamiales; Phrymaceae.
GUUUUGAAAAUGGGAGUAUGGUACUUGAUUGAUGGUCGAGUAGGCAAGGGACGCGGGAGGAACCGGCGGACCCAACACAUGGUGGCAAAUACCUGAGGUCGAAAGACCAGUAUGGAAAACCCACAAUUAAAGAAAUGAAAUACGGCUAAUACCUGAGGUCGAAAGGCCGGUAUGGAAACCCCCGUAUUAUCUAUUGGCCAAAUUUGAUGAACAGGUUCCAAAAAUCAAAGUCUAUUGCUAUCAGUCAAGUACCACACUUCAAGGGUACCCGAUAAAGAGAAGGAUUUCAAAGAAAAGGAUCACGAAUGAAGUUAUAGAUGUGAUAUUGUACUUAUUGAAUGGAUAAUGUGUUAUGUGAUUGAUAUAUUGCUAUUACAUCAGUUUCAACUUGCUGAGCCAUUAGCUCAUUAGGUUCUUAUGAUGCAGGUAAUGAUGUACAUGUUUAGAAGUUGACCUAGCCAAGAGCGGCUAGUCAGAUAUUUGUUCAUAUGCCAUGCUUCGAGCCAUUUUUGUAGCCGAGCAGAAACUCUGAUUUCAUUUUGUUAGCCGCUCUAUUAUGGUUUUUGUACAAUGUAAUUUUGUAAACAAUGAAUAUAUAUAUGUACGGAUUUUGAGAAAGUACUAAGUUUGAUUUCUUUUCAAAGCAUAUAACGUAUUUUUGUAUUAAAACCAUAAUGUUUAAGUAUAUAUAUAAAAAGCUUAGCAUCCCUAACUUAAUGGCGGUGAUCCGAUUGGAUUCUGCUGUUAGGUUGUGCGGUGUUACAUUUUUGGUAUCAGAGCGGAGGUUUAAAAUCUUUUCUGAAGACAGAAGAAGGCAUAUGAACAUACUUUGGCUGGGAAGCUAGGUUAACUCUUUUCUUAUUUACCUAUGUGUUUAAUUUAUAUGUUGCAUAGCAAAUAUCCAGAAUUGUUCGGUACGUCAAAUUUCGAGGGCGAAAUUUUAUAAGGAGGGAAGAAUUGUAAUGCCCAACCAUCCAUACAUGGCCAAUAAUAAGCAUAUUGCAUCAAUGCAUAUAGUUAUAAUUCAUUAUUCAUGAUGCAUGAUCACGACUACUUGCUACACAUGUGCCUUAAUUGUGUUUUAAUACGUGAUCGAAUACUUUUCUUAAACUGUGAUAAUAUAUGAUACAUGUUAUUGAACUUCUACUUUAUGAUUUAACAUUAACUUAAAUGAUUUAUUGUAGUGAGAAGUUAAGUUUCUCGCUAAACGGUGAUAUAUUUGUCUUAGAUGCAUUUCUGCAUUUUAAUUAUGAUUAAUUACAUAUGUAAUUAUUUGAAGUAACUCAUACUAGACUAAAACCAAAAGUAUGCAAAAUGGUGCAUUUUGAUUGGUUGGUUGACUAGGUUGCACGAGACCAUUCUGAAAUUGUUUACACUUGAUUAUAAUGAGUAUGCAUCAGCCCAUUUCUUAUCUCAAGCUAUAAAAACGUGGAGGAACCACAAGAAUCCAGCAAAUACAAGCCUUCCAAUCACCAUCCUCCAUUUGGCCUUGUUGGGAAUGGGUAGAUAAGUGAAGACUUUGUGUUUUGGUCUUCAUUUUCACUUGUCUUCUUCCAAAAAUGACCAGACCUAUUUCCUUAAUUUUGUCUUCAUAUUUCUUCACUUCCAUACUCACAUAAGAGAGCAUCAAACCAUAAAAACUCAUAGAAGUAGAGCUAGAACAAGUUCUGCACCUUUUCUAGCUGAAAAUCCUAUGUUUUGAAGUUGAAUUCAUCUCUAAUCAAGGCUUCUAGCACACCUUAUCUAAAACUGAUCCUUUCAUUUCAUAAACCAUUAUUGAUCUUGAGGUAAGUUGAAGCUUUCAUUUGCACAUCGUAAGAACCUAAUUAUGUGCGCUUUAAUGUGACUUUUGCUAUGUAUUCUCUAUAAUGUUUGAAUGAUUGAUGAGUCAUAGUGAUAUGAAAGAAUAUGUUUUGAAAAUGGGAGUAUGGUACUUGAUUGAUGGUCGAGUAGGCAAGGGACGCAGGAGGAACCGGCGGACCCAACACAUGGUGGCAAAUACCUGAGGUCGAAAGACCAGUAUGGAAAACCCACAAUUAAAGAAAUGAAAUACGGCUAAUACCUGAGGUCGAAAGGCCGGUAUGGAAACCCCCGUAUUAUCUAUUGGCCAAAUUUGAUGAACAGGUUCCGAAAAUCAAAGUCUAUUGCUAUCAGUCAAGUACCACACUUCAAGGGUACCCGAUAAAGAGAAGGAUUUCAAAGAAAAGGAUCACGAAUGAAGUUAUAGAUGUGAUAUUGUACUUAUUGAAUAGAUAAUGUGUUAUGUGAUUGAUAUAUUGCUAUUACAUCAGUUUCAACUUGCUGAGCCAUUAGCUCAUUAGGUUCUUAUGAUGCAGGUAAUGAUGUACAUGUUUAGAAGUUGACCUAGCCAAGAGCGGCCAGUCAGAUAUUUGUUCAUAUGCCAUGCUUCGAGCCAUUUUUGUAGCCGAGCAGAAACUCUGAUUUCAUUUUGUUAGCCGCUCUAUUAUGGUUUUUGUACAAUGUAAUUUUGUAAACAAUGAAUAUAUAUAUGUACGGAUUUUGAGAAAGUACAAAGUUUGAUUUCUUUUCAAAGCAUAUAACGUAUUUUUGUAUUAAAACCAUAAUGUUUAAGUAUAUAUAUAAAAAGCUUAGCAUCCCUAACUUAAUGGCGGUGAUCCGAUUGGAUUCUGCUGUUAGGUUGUGCGGUGUUACAUUUUUGGUAUCAGAGCGGAGGUUUAAAAUCUUUUCUGAAGACAGAAGAAGGCAUAUGAACAUACUUUGGCUGGGAAGCUUGGUUAACUCUUUUCUUAUUUACCUAUGUGUUUAAUUUAUAUGUUGCAUAGCAAAUAUCCAGAAUUGUUCGGUACGUCAAAUUUCGAGGGCGAAAUUUUAUAAGGAGGGAAGAAUUGUAAUGCCCAACCAUCCAUACAUGGCCAAUAAUAAGCAUAUUGCAUCAAUGCAUAUAGUUAUAAUUCAUUAUUCAUGAUGCAUGAUCACGACUACUUGCUACACAUGUGCCUUAAUUGUGUUUUACUACGUGAUCGAAUACUUUUCUUAAACUGUGAUAAUACAUGAUACAUGUUAUUGAACUUCUACUUUAUGAUUUAACAUUAACUUAAAUGAUUUAUUGUAGUGAGAAGUUAAGUUUCUCGCUAAACGGUGAUAUAUUUGUCUUAGAUGCAUUUCCGCAUUUUAAUUAUGUUUUAAUAUGAUUAAUUACAUAUGUAAUUAUUUGAAGUAACUCAUAUUAGACUAAAACCAAAAGUAUGCAAAAUGGUGCAUUUUGAUUGGUUGGUUGACUAGGUUGCACGAGACCAUUCUGAAAUUGUUUACACUUGAUUAUAAUGAGUAUGCAUCAGCCCAUAUCUUAUCUCAAGCUAUAAAAACGUGGAGGAACCACAAGAAUCCAGCAAAUAAAAGCCUUCCAAUCACCAUCCUCCAUUUGGCCUUGUUGGGAAUGGGUAGAUAAGUGAAGACUUUGUGUUUUGGUCUUCAUUUUCACUUGUCUUCUUCCAAAAACGACCAGACCGAUUUCCUUAAUCUUGUCUUCAUAUUUCUUCACUUCCAUACUCACAUAAGAGAGCAUCAAACCAUAAAAACUCAUAGAAGUAGAGCUAGAACAAGUUCUGCACCUUUUCUAGCUGAAAAUCCUAUGUUUUGAAGUUGAAUUCAUCUCUAAUCAAGGCUUCUAGCACACCUUAUCUAAAACUGAUCCUUUCAUUUCAUAAACCAUUAUUGAUCUUGAGGUAAGUUGAAGCUUUCAUUUGUACAUCGUAAGAACCUAAUUAUGUGCGCUUUAAUGUGACUUUUGCUAUGUAUUCUCUAUGAUGUUUGAAUGAUUGAUGAGUCAUAGUGAUAUGAAAGAAUAUGUUUUGAAAAUGGGAGUAUGGUAUUUGAUUGAUGGUCGAGUAGGCAAGGGACGCGGGAGGAACCGGCGGACCCAACACAUGGUGGCAAAUACCUGAGGUCGAAAGACCAGUAUGGAAAACCCACAAUUAAAGAAAUGAAAUACGGCUAAUACCUUAGGUCGAAAGGCCGGUAUGGAAACCCACGUAUUAUCUAUUGGCCAAAUUUGAUGAACAGGUUCCGAAAAUCAAAGUCUAUUGCUAUCAGUCAAGUACCACACUUCAAGGGUACCCGAUAAAGAGAAGGAUUUCAAAGAAAAGGAUCACGAAUGAAGUUAUAGAUGUGAUAUUGUACUUAUUGAAUGGAUAAUGUGUUAUGUGAUUGAUAUAUUGCUAUUACAUCAGUUUGAACUUGCUGAGCCAUUAGCUCAUUAGGUUCUUAUGAUGCAGGUAAUGAUGUACAUGUUUAGAAGUUGACCUAGCCAAGAGCAGCCAGUCAGAUAUUUGUUCAUAUGCCAUGCUUCGAGCCAUUUUUGUAGCCGAGCAGAAACUCUGAUUUCAUUUUGUUAGCCGCUCUAUUAUGGUUUUUGUACAAUGUAAUUUUGUAAACAAUGAAUAUAUAUAUGUAC